This 528-nucleotide ribosomal RNA is filed under the name uncultured bacterium. Its description in RNAcentral is "bacterial SSU rRNA". It matches the Rfam family "Bacterial small subunit ribosomal RNA", at positions 777 to 1304 of the family's 1533-position model. The record is from RNAcentral.
AAUAGAUACCCAGGUAGUCCACGCCGUAAACGAUGAGUGCUAAGUGUUAGAGGGUUUCCGCCCUUUAGUGCUGAAGUUAACGCGUUAAGUAUCCCGCCUGGGGAGUACGCUCGCAAGAGUGAAACCCAAAGGAAUUGACGGGGGCUCACACAAGCGGUGGAGCAUGUGGUUCAAUUCGACGCAACGCGAAGAACCUUACCCAGGCUUGAACAGCGAGUGACCAACUCCGAAAGGGGUCUUCCGCAAGGACACUCGUAGAGGUGCUGCAUGGCUGUCGUCAGCUCGUGUCGUGAGAUGUUGGGUUAAGUCCCGCAACGAGCGCAACCCUCGUCCUAUGUUGCCAGCGGAUAAUGCCGGGGACUCAUAGGAGACUGCCGGUGACAAACCGGAGGAAGGCGGGGAUGACGUCAAAUCAUCAUGCCCCUUAUGACCUGGGCUACACACGCACUACAAUGGCCGGUACAACGGGCUGCGAAACCGCGAGGUGGAGCCAAUCCCAACAAAGCCGGUCUCAGUUCGGAUUGCAGG